RNAcentral lists this ribosomal RNA (447 nucleotides) under uncultured bacterium. RNAcentral describes it as "partial 16S ribosomal RNA". It matches the Rfam family "Bacterial small subunit ribosomal RNA", at positions 30 to 523 of the family's 1533-position model. The record is from RNAcentral.
AUUGAACGCUGGCGGCAGGCUUAACACAUGCAAGUCGAACGCACCGCAAGGUGAGUGGCAGACGGGUGAGUAACGCGUGGGAACCUACCCCUUGGUACGGGAUAGCUCCGGGAAACUGGAGAUAAUACCGUAUGUGACCUGAGGGUCAAAGAUUCAUCGCCAAGGGAUGGGCCCGCGUCGGAUUAGCUAGUUGGUGGGGUAACGGCCUACCAAGGCGACGAUCCGUAGCUGGUCUAAGAGGAUGAUCAGCCACAUUGGGACUGAGACACAGCCCAAACUCCUACGGGAGGCAGCAGUGGGGAAUAUUGGACAAUGGGCGCAAGCCUGAUCCAGCCAUGCCGCGUGAGUGAUGAAGGCCCUAGGGUUGUAAAGCUCUUUCACCGGGGAUGAUAAUGACGGUACCCGGAGAAGAAGCCCCGGCUAACUUCGUGCCAGCCGCCGCAGUAA